AUUGAACGCUGGCGGCAUGCUUUACACAUGCAAGUCGGACGAGUGGCGAACGGGUGAGUAACGCAUCGGAACGUACCGAGUAAUGGGGGAUAACUGUCCGAAAGGACAGCUAAUACCGCAUAUUAUUCGAGCGGCCGAUGUCGGAUUAGCUGGUUGGCGGGGUAAAGGCCCACGAGGGCGACGAUUAGUAGCGGGUAUGAGAGGAUGAGACGCCAAACUGGGACUGAGACACGGCCCAGCCUCCUACGGUAGGCAGCAGUGGGGAAUUUUGGACAAGGGGCGGAACCCUGAUCCAGCCAGGCCGCGUGUCUGAAGAAGGCCUUCGGGUUGUAAAGGACUUUUGUCAGUGAAGCGGUACCUGAAGAAUAAGCACCGGCUAACUACGUGCCAGCAGCCGCGGUAAUUC
This 406-nucleotide ribosomal RNA is filed under the name uncultured bacterium. RNAcentral describes it as "partial 16S ribosomal RNA". It matches the Rfam family "Bacterial small subunit ribosomal RNA", at positions 30 to 526 of the family's 1533-position model. The record is from RNAcentral.